RNAcentral lists this unclassified non-coding RNA (1824 nucleotides) under Hevea brasiliensis (rubber tree). Lineage: Eukaryota; Viridiplantae; Streptophyta; Magnoliopsida; Malpighiales; Euphorbiaceae. The record is from RNAcentral.
GAUCUCCGCAAUCUCACCGGCGAUGUCGAUCUCAAUCCCUCGUAGAAACCUCUUCAUCGACGGCGAGUGGGUGGAGCCCGUCCAGGGCAAACGGAUCUCCAUCAUCAACCCCGCCACCGAGGAGUCGAUCGGCGAUAUCCCGGCGGCCACCGCCGAGGAUGUCGACCUCGCCGUCGACGCUGCCAGGCGGGCCCUCACCAGGAAUCGCGGCAAGGAUUGGGCCCGCGCCUCCGGGGCCGUCCGCGCCAAGUACCUCCGCGCCAUCGCCGCCAAGAUAACAGAGAGAAAGCCUGACCUGGCUAAGCUAGAGUCUCUGGAUUGUGGGAAGCCUUUGGAUGAGGCAGCAUGGGACAUUGAUGAUGUUGCUGGGUGUUUUGAGUUCUAUGCAGAUCUUGCUGAAGGCUUAGAUGGGAAGCAAAGGGCUCCUAUUGCCUCUCCUAUGGAAUCUUUUAAGAUCCAUGUUCUUAAAGAACCCAUUGGAGUUGUUGGGUUGAUCACUCCCUGGAACUAUCCUCUAUUAAUGGCUACUUGGAAGGUUGCUCCAGCUUUGGCUGCUGGUUGUGCAGCUGUACUAAAGCCUUCUGAACUGGCCUCAGUGACUUGUUUGGAGCUUGCUGAUGUGUGUAAAGAAGUAGGGCUACCUAGUGGUGUCCUAAAUAUUGUGACUGGAUUGGGUCCUGAAGCUGGUGCGCCCUUAGCAUCACAUCCUCAUGUUGACAAGAUCGCCUUCACUGGGAGUACAGAGACUGGCCGAAGAAUCAUGACUGCUGCAGCACAACUUGUCAAGCCUGUUUCACUAGAGCUUGGUGGCAAAAGUCCCCUUAUUGUAUUUGAAGAUGUUGACAUUGAGACAGCUGUUGAGUGGACUCUCUUUGGGUGCUUUUGGACCAAUGGUCAAAUAUGCAGUGCAACUUCUCGUCUUCUUAUACAAGAAAGCAUAGCGGAAAAAUUCUUAGAUAGGCUUGCUGUUUGGGCCAAAAAUAUCAAGAUUUCAGAUCCACUAGAAGAAGGUUGCAGACUCGGCCCUGUUGUCAGUGAAGGGCAGUACGCCAAGAUAAACAAAAUUAUUUCGACAGCCAAGAGCGAAGGUGCAACUAUUUUAUGUGGCGGUGGACGCCCCAAGCAUCUAGAGAAGGGAUUCUAUAUUGAACCAACAAUCAUAACGAACGUGAGCACCUCCAUGCAAAUCUGGAGGGAGGAGGUUUUUGGUCCGGUUCUCUGUGUCAAGACAUUUGCAACAGAAGAUGAAGCUAUCGAACUUGCAAAUGAUACUCAUUAUGGUCUAGGUGGUGCCGUGAUCUCCAAGGAUCCAGAGAGAUGCGAGCGUUUGACAGAGGCCAUUCAGGCUGGGAUUAUAUGGGUGAACUGUUCGCAGCCAUGCUUCUGCCAAGCUCCUUGGGGAGGGACGAAGCGCAGCGGUUUUGGACGGGAACUUGGUGAAUGGGGUCUCGAAAACUACUUGAGUGUGAAACAGGUGACAACAUACGUGUCGAAUGAGCCAUGGGGAUGGUAUGUGUCUCCAUCCAAGUUGUGAGCGGGCACAGCCUCGACUGAGUGAUGUCGAACCAGAAGGUCUUUACUGUUUGGCAAGAAUAAGUUGUCUUUCCUAUGUGAACAUGUAUUCAGAUCCUUAACAUGGAUAAUGUAACACUAGUAAAACAGACUAGACUAGACUAGACGGAAAUAAAUGUGUUCUGUGUCGCUCUCGGGUCGUGUUAGAUUGCGACUCGGAUUGAAGGGUUACUAAUAAGGGCUUCUUUCAGAGUCAGAGAUUUGCGACGCUCUCUCUGACUAUGAGGACGACAUAGGUGACUUACAUGGUGG